GUGUCAGCCGCCGCGGUAAUACGUAGGAGGCGAGCGUUGUCCGGAUUUACUGGGCGUAAAGAGCGCGCAGGCGGCAUGUCAAGUAAGGUGUGAAAUCUCCCUGCUCAACGGGGAGGGCGCAUUUUAGACUGGCAAGCUAGAGGACGGUAGAGGGGGGUAGAAUUGCUGGUGUAGCGGUGAAAUGCGUAGAGAUCAGCAGGAAUACCCGUGGCGAAGGCGGCCCCCUGGGCCGAACCUGACGCUGAGGCGCGAAGGCUAGGGGAGCGAACGGGAUUAGAUACCCCGGUAGUCC
RNAcentral lists this ribosomal RNA (292 nucleotides) under uncultured bacterium. RNAcentral's name for it is "partial 16S ribosomal RNA". It matches the Rfam family "Bacterial small subunit ribosomal RNA", at positions 505 to 796 of the family's 1533-position model. The record is from RNAcentral.